This 895-nucleotide ribosomal RNA is filed under the name uncultured bacterium. RNAcentral's name for it is "bacterial SSU rRNA". It matches the Rfam family "Bacterial small subunit ribosomal RNA", at positions 8 to 893 of the family's 1533-position model. The record is from RNAcentral.
AGAGUUUGAUCCUGGCUCAGGAUGAACGCUAGCUACAGGCUUAACACAUGCAAGUCGAGGGGAAACGACAUCGAAAGCUUGCUUUUGAUGGGCGUCGACCGGCGCACGGGUGAGUAACGCGUAUCCAACCUGCCCACCACUUGGGGAUAACCUUGCGAAAGUAAGACUAAUACCCAAUGAUAUCUCUAGAAGACAUCUGAAGGAGAUUAAAGAUUUAUCGGUGAUGGAUGGGGAUGCGUCUGAUUAGCUUGUUGGCGGGGUAACGGCCCACCAAGGCGACGAUCAGUAGGGGUUCUGAGAGGAAGGUCCCCCACAUUGGAACUGAGACACGGUCCAAACUCCUACGGGAGGCAGCAGUGAGGAAUAUUGGUCAAUGGGCGAGAGUCUGAACCAGCCAAGUAGCGUGCAGGAUGACGGCCCUAUGGGUUGUAAACUGCUUUUAUAAGGGAAUAAAGUGAGUCUCGUGAGACUUUUUGCAUGUACCUUAUGAAUAAGGACCGGCUAAUUCCGUGCCAGCAGCCGCGGUAAUACGGAAGGUCCGGGCGUUAUCCGGAUUUAUUGGGUUUAAAGGGAGCGUAGGCCGGAGAUUAAGCGUGUUGUGAAAUGUAGACGCUCAACGUCUGCACUGCAGCGCGAACUAGUUUCCUUGAGUACGCACAAAGUGGGCGGAAUUCGUGGUGUAGCGGUGAAAUGCUUAGAUAUCACGAAGAACUCCGAUUGCGAAGGCAGCUCACUGGAGCGCAACUGACGCUGAAGCUCGAAAGUGCGGGUAUCGAACAGGAUUAGAUACCCUGGUAGUCCGCACGGUAAACGAUGGAUGCCCGCUGUUGGUCUGAAUAGGUCAGCGGCCAAGCGAAAGCAUUAAGCAUCCCACCUGGGGAGUACGCCGGCAACG